Long non-coding RNA from Ahaetulla prasina, 1893 nucleotides. RefSeq lists it as uncharacterized. NCBI's taxonomy places the organism in Eukaryota, Metazoa, Chordata, Lepidosauria, Squamata, Colubridae. The record is from RefSeq and is a predicted model, not a curated record. The transcript has 3 exons.
AUUCUGGCUGUACACCGCCCUGAGUCCUUCGGGAGAAGGGCGGUAUAGAAAUUUAAUAAAAUAAAUAAAUAAAUAAAUACCUAUGGACCUACUGAAGCCAAAGAAUGUGGCUAACUAAACCUAGUCCUAAACUAACUUUAGUCAGAGGACACGUUACAACUGAGUGUGUUCUCUGAGAGCCCUACAAGUGAAAAUGGAAGAAAGGCAGUCAAGGGCUGAUCCCUUAGAAGAGGUUUUUUCAACUAGUCUUCUAAUGGUUUUUGUUCUAAUUUGAAUUUUCUUCUUCCCUUUCUCCCACUUCCAAAACCUGCCUCUCUUUGUAUUUAAAUCUCAGAUCAUCUCAACCAAACCAGCAAUUUACAUAAGAUUGGAGCCGAUCCAAAUUCCCCUAGCAAAUAAAGGCAUUUCAAACAGGUAGAGGAAUGUGGGCAAGUGGAAGAAACCAGUAGUCAUAUGGUAGGACUAACUCUAGAGUAAUUGUCUCUUUUUCCAUGGCAAUAAAUACUAUCCACAGGCUCUUUCCUGUAAGCAAUUACUCUCUUUCUUGGCUCACAAGUGUUUUUUAAGAUUUUUAACAGCAGGCAUGCAUGCAAGGCGAUGUUCAAAAAUAGGUUAUUCUGCACAUGGCUUUCAUCUUUCAUGGAGUUUCAUUGCACCUUUCUAAUGGGAAAAAAGAGGGCUAUCAAAGACUUGAAGUCGAAAGCGAUCAAUAAAGUAGCCAUGUCUAUAUAUAGAUUCUCUCCCUUCUGCUCCCACUCAUGCCUGCAUGCAGUCUUCCAGGGUGUCAUUAAAAUAAAUGGAAGCGUUCAAAGCUUUGUAUUCAGGAUAAUAAUAAGCCCUUUUUGAUAAUCACAUGCACACACAUACGCACAAAUAGGAAAGGACACUGGUGUCUCAAUGAGAUUAUGCACUUUGGACUAAAUCUUGAGGCAGAGUGGAUCAGCUCUCUAUGAUUUUGUGAAAAUCAUAGAGAGCAAAUCAUAGAGAGCAAAAUAAGUAUUGACUGUUUACUUCAUAGUUCUCGAGAGAAAAAAGAGACAUUAUAGAGAAACAAAGAAGAAGUAGAUCAGGCUUAAACCUUUAUCUCUAAAGCGUGCCUCCUGUAUUAAGGAAAGGAAACCCUAUCCAGACAUCGUAAUAGGAAUGGCUCCACUUCUUCUGUCAUAAAUCUGAACAUGUAGAAAGAAGACUUAUUGGUGAAUUUAACAGUAUUUUUCGUUGAAGUGGCAGUUGCUAACCAUUACACCAGUAUUUAUUUGAUUCUUAAAGAGCACAAAAGCAUGGACUACAAAUAAAGAAGAUGGAGUAAUAGCUUUUGACUGGGCCACUAGCUUUAAACUUGAAAUGAAGUGUCCAGUUUUGAGUUACUGUGUCCAAAUGCCAUUUGUACAGUUUGAAAAGUGGGGGCAUUUUUCCAGCUUGUCACUGUUAGCUGUAGUUCAUUCCUAUGAAUGAUGUCACUGAAGGAGCACGUUGUGCUGCUAUAAGUACUUCACUCAUGACUGGAAUGUAUUAAAUGUAUUAAUCUGUGCCUUUGACUUUAAUUUAGGGAAGCCCUACGUUUGACACAUUCUUCUACAACUUUGUUUUAUGGCCAUCUCCUGCAGAUAACCAUGGCUCAGAAGCAAAGUGACUGAAUGAAGUUAAAGGGUCGCAAACCAUCCUAUGAACAUCUCUUGUUUAUUUCACUGUCAAAAUGUGUCACUAUGAAUACAAGGCUUAAACAUGCAGAGAUAAACACACAGAUCCUGAACAAACAGUGCCACUAACAGAAAAUAAAGACAUGGAUAUAACAUUCACAGAUAAAACACAAGGAACAUUUUGAUGGGACCUAAUGAAUAAAACUGGAGCGGCUCCUUUUUUUUGUUGGUACUGAGAACUGGAUUUCUUAAG